Non-coding RNA from Cinara cedri, 237 nucleotides. Lineage: Eukaryota; Metazoa; Arthropoda; Insecta; Hemiptera; Aphididae. The record is from the annotation of a GenBank genome assembly.
UUUAUUAAUGAUAAUCCAUCAAAUAUAAUGUCCCAGAAUAACAUUACUGGUGUUUCAUUAACCAUAAGGUACAAUGGGAUUUGCAACUGCAUUUUACAGAGUAACUUACUUUUGCCACAUGUGUUGUUUUGCUCUGUAGGAUAUUAAACAAGGUGUUGAAUACAACACUCGAAAAUUUUAUAUUACCUGUCUGUUGAAUAUUUCAUUGAAUUUAUCUUUUUAGUGCAUUUAAAUAUC